Long non-coding RNA from Mercenaria mercenaria, 549 nucleotides. RefSeq lists it as uncharacterized. The record is from RefSeq and is a predicted model, not a curated record. The transcript is spliced from 3 exons. NCBI's taxonomy places the organism in Eukaryota, Metazoa, Mollusca, Bivalvia, Venerida, Veneridae.
CAAGGGGCAGGACGUGAAGUGGUUGCACACUUGGGUCAAGCGAGCGAAAUGGUUGCAAACUUACAAAAUGGCGGAUAUUUUCUGAAAUCAUCGCGUGUUCGCUUGUUUUUUUUAUCAGAUCUUUUCAGGUCUAGAUGCUAUGAACAUCAGACGCUAUUAUGACCCGAGAGUAUGAACAUGAAUCUUCAUUAGUUGAACAAACUACGCUAACACGUAUAUCAGAAAUAACCGUUAGAGACCACGAGUUUAACCGAAGGAAAGGAAGCAUACCAAAGUAUGGAACAUUAAGAAAAUUGAAUGAUAUAUCAAGAGGUGUUCGACCAGUUAAGUCACAUUACAGAGUUGACGAGUCCACUAAGACUAUAUUUUGAGCAACCUCACAAAUUAAAAUACAGCGCAACAGUUCCGCUGUAUACAGUUGAUUGAAAUUGAUAAACUAUAACAAGAAAAUGUUCGGCUGCGAUUAAAUCCGUCUUCUCUGAAAAUGAACAAACAUAAUUAUGAUGUUUUCUGUUGAUUGCCACCACAAAUUUAAAUGCCAACUCUACU